Molecule: small nucleolar RNA, 146 nt
Filed under: Sorghum bicolor (sorghum)
Lineage: Eukaryota; Viridiplantae; Streptophyta; Magnoliopsida; Poales; Poaceae
Description: snoRNA snoR134
Rfam family: small nucleolar RNA snoR134
Source: Rfam by way of RNAcentral
UUGCACGGUGCUAACCCCGGGCUUGUCGGAUCUCUACCCUUUGAAGAAGGAAGCCCCAAUGCCUGUGCUAGAUCCACCAUGCCAUUCAGUGUUGCAGGCCCUGACGAAUCUCGUGAUUGGUCUGUGUCAAAGCAAUGGAUACAUAU